This 468-nucleotide ribosomal RNA is filed under the name uncultured bacterium. RNAcentral describes it as "partial 16S ribosomal RNA". It matches the Rfam family "Bacterial small subunit ribosomal RNA", at positions 28 to 507 of the family's 1533-position model. The record is from RNAcentral.
GACGAACGCUGGCGGCGUGCUUAACACAUGCAAGUCGAACGGAAAGGCCCUGCUUUUGUGGGGUGCUCGAGUGGCGAACGGGUGAGUAACACGUGAGUAACCUGCCCUUGACUUUGGGAUAACUUCAGGAAACUGGGGCUAAUACCGGAUAGGAGCUCCUGCUGCAUGGUGGGGGUUGGAAAGUUUCGGCGGUUGGGGAUGGACUCGCGGCUUAUCAGCUUGUUGGUGGGGUAGUGGCUUACCAAGGCUUUGACGGGUAGCCGGCCUGAGAGGGUGACCGGCCACCAUGGGACUGCGGUACGGCCCAGAAUGCUACGGGGGGCAGCAGGGGGGAAUAUUGCACAAUGGGGCGAAGCCUGAUGCAGCAACGCCGGGUGCGGGAUGACGGGCUUCGGGUUGUGAACCGCUUUCGCCUGUGACGGAGCCGUAGUGACGGUAAUGGGUAAAAAAGCAACGGCUAACUACGUG